RNAcentral lists this ribosomal RNA (433 nucleotides) under uncultured bacterium. Its description in RNAcentral is "partial 16S ribosomal RNA". It matches the Rfam family "Bacterial small subunit ribosomal RNA", at positions 29 to 507 of the family's 1533-position model. The record is from RNAcentral.
AACGAACGCUGGCGGCAUGCCUAACACAUGCAAGUCGAACGAGACCUUCGGGGCUAGUGGCGCACGGGUGCGUAACGCGUGGGAACCUGCCCUUAGGUUCGGAAUAACUCCCCGAAAGGGGUGCUUAUACCGGAUAAUGUCUUCGGACCAAAGAUUUAUCGCCUUUGGAUGGGCCCGCGUUGGAUUAGCUAGUUGGUAGGGUAAAAGCCUACCAAGGCGACGAUCCAUAGCUGGUCUGAGAGGAUGAUCAGCCACACUGGGACUGAGACACGGCCCAGACUCCUACGGGAGGCAGCAGUGGGGAAUAUUGGACAAUGGGCGAAAGCCUGAUCCAGCAAUGCCGCGUGAGUGAUGAAGGCCUUAGGGUUGUAAAGCUCUUUUACCCGGGAUGAUAAUGACAGUACCGGGAGAAUAAGCUCCGGCUAACUCCGUG